AUUGAACGCUGGCGGCAUGCCUUACACAUGCAAGUCGAACGGUAACAGGUUAAGCUGACGAGUGGCGAACGGGUGAGUAAUGUAUCGGAACGUGCCCAGUUGUGGGGGAUAACUGCUCGAAAGAGCAGCUAAUACCGCAUACGACCUGAGGGUGAAAGCGGGGGAUCGCAAGACCUCGCGCAAUUGGAGCGGCCGAUAUCAGAUUAGGUAGUUGGUGGGAUAAAGGCUCACCAAGCCGACGAUCUGUAGCUGGUCUGAGAGGACGACCAGCCACACUGGGACUGAGACACGGCCCAGACUCCUACGGGAGGCAGCAGUGGGGAAUUUUGGACAAUGGGCGCAAGCCUGAUCCAGCCAUGCCGCGUGCGGGAAGAAGGCCUUCGGGUUGUAAACCGCUUUUGUCAGGGAAGAAACGCUCUGGGUUAAUACCCUGGGGUAAUGACGGUACCUGAAGAAUAAGCACCGGCUAACUACGUGCCAGCCGCCGCAGUAA
This 493-nucleotide ribosomal RNA is filed under the name uncultured bacterium. RNAcentral's name for it is "partial 16S ribosomal RNA". It matches the Rfam family "Bacterial small subunit ribosomal RNA", at positions 30 to 523 of the family's 1533-position model. The record is from RNAcentral.